UACGUAGGGUGCAAACGUUAUCCGGAUUUACUGGGCGUAAAGAGCUCGUAGGUGGUUUUGCAAGUUGAAUAUUAAAGCUCCCGGCUCAACUGGGAAAAAGUAUUCAAAACUGCAUGACUCGAGGUAUGUAGGGGAGGAUGGAACACACAGUGUAGCAGUGAUAUGCGUAGAUAUUGUGUGGAACGCCAAAGGUGAAAACAGUCCUCUGGACAUUACCUGACACUGAGGAGCGAAAGCGUGGGGAGCGAACGGG
RNAcentral lists this ribosomal RNA (253 nucleotides) under uncultured bacterium. RNAcentral's name for it is "partial 16S ribosomal RNA". It matches the Rfam family "Bacterial small subunit ribosomal RNA", at positions 524 to 776 of the family's 1533-position model. The record is from RNAcentral.